UGAGGAAGCACCGCUCUCUCUGUUUCUCUUUCUGUGGGAAAUCAUGGCCUCCAGCCUCUGCUUCUAAGCCGAGGAGAAAUAUGAAAACGAAACCGCCCUGUACCAGUCUCAGCCCCCAAGUUAAGGAAUGUGAAAGGUGAGGAGUCGCCAUGGCAACAGCAGUACCAGAAAAGUGCCAGAAAACACCAGCCUUCCCUUCAGAGGCUCUGCUGCUGCUGGUCAUGAAACCCCAUCAUCACUUAAAUCGCUCCAUUUUAAAGGCAGUUAAGGUGUCCCUCCGCCGCCUGUCCUCAUCUCUUCUGCAGUUACCACUUUUGUGUAUUCAUCUCAGGGUGUUGUAAUUCCCAGCUGACACAUCAUCAACAUCAGCUUCUUGAGG
Sciurus carolinensis (gray squirrel) is the source of this 379-nucleotide long non-coding RNA. RefSeq lists it as uncharacterized. Lineage: Eukaryota; Metazoa; Chordata; Mammalia; Rodentia; Sciuridae. The transcript is spliced from 4 exons. The record is from RefSeq and is a predicted model, not a curated record.